GACGAACGCUGGCGGCGUGCUUAACACAUGCAAGUCGAACGGAAAGGCCCUGCUUUUGUGGGGUGCUCGAGUGGCGAACGGGUGAGUAACACGUGAGUAACCUGCCCUUGACUUUGGGAUAACUUCAGGAAACUAGGGCUAAUACCGGAUAGGAGCUCCUGCUGCAUGGUGGGGGUUGGAAAGUUUCGGCGGUUGGGGAUGGACUCGCGGCUUAUCAGCUUGUUGGUGGGGUAGUGGCUUACCAAGGCUUUGACGGGUAGCCGGCCUGAGAGGGUGACCGGCCACAUUGGGACUGAGAUACGGCCCAGACUCCUACGGGAGGCAGCAGUGGGGAAUAUUGCACAAUGGGCGGAAGCCUGAUGCAGCAACGCCGCGUGCGGGAUGACGGCCUUCGGGUUGUAAACCGCUUUCGCCUGUGACGAAGUGUGAGUGACGGUAAUGGGUAAAGAAGCACCGGCUAACUACGUG
This 468-nucleotide ribosomal RNA is filed under the name uncultured bacterium. RNAcentral describes it as "partial 16S ribosomal RNA". It matches the Rfam family "Bacterial small subunit ribosomal RNA", at positions 28 to 507 of the family's 1533-position model. The record is from RNAcentral.